Molecule: ribosomal RNA, 499 nt
Filed under: uncultured bacterium
Lineage: Bacteria
Description: bacterial SSU rRNA
Rfam family: Bacterial small subunit ribosomal RNA
Source: RNAcentral
GAUCAUGGCUCAGGAUGAACGCUAGCGGCAGGCUUAAUACAUGCAAGUCGUGGGGCAGCAGGUUUGUAGCAAUACAGAUGCUGGCGACCGGCAAACGGGUGCGGAACACGUACAGAACCUUCCUUUGAGCGGGGAAUAGCCCAGAGAAAUUUGGAUUAAUACCCCAUAGUAUAAUGAAGUGGCAUCACUUUAUUAUUAAAGAUUUAUCACUCGAAGAUGGCUGUGCGGCUGAUUAGGUAGUUGGCGGGUAAAGGCCCACCAAGCCUGCGAUCAGUAACUGGUGUGAGAGCACGACCAGUCACACGGGCACUGAGACACGGGCCCGACUCCUACGGGAGGCAGCAGUAAGGAAUAUUGGUCAAUGGAGGCAACUCUGAACCAGCCAUGCCGCGUGGAGGAUGAAGGUCCUCUGGAUUGUAAACUUCUUUUAUAUGGGACGAAAAAGGCUUUUCUAAGCCGUCUGACGGUACCAUAUGAAUAAGCACCGGCUAACUCCGUG